Molecule: ribosomal RNA, 495 nt
Filed under: uncultured Desulfobulbus sp.
Lineage: Bacteria; Pseudomonadati; Thermodesulfobacteriota; Desulfobulbia; Desulfobulbales; Desulfobulbaceae
Description: bacterial SSU rRNA
Rfam family: Bacterial small subunit ribosomal RNA
Source: RNAcentral
GCUCAGAACUCAAAGGAAUUGACGGGGCCCGCACAAGCGGUGGAGUAUGUGGUUUAAUUCGAUGCAACGCGAAGAACCUUACCUGGUCUUGACAUCCCGGAGACCCUUAGGAAACUAGGGGGUGCUUCCAUCUGGAAGAAUCUGGAGACAGGUGCUGCAUGGCUGUCGUCAGCUCGUGUCGUGAGAUGUUGGGUUAAGUCCCGCAACGAGCGCAACCCUUGCCUUUAGUUGCCAGCAGUUCGGCUGGGCACUCUAAAGGGACUGCCGGUGUUAAACCGGAGGAAGGUGGGGAUGACGUCAAGUCCUCAUGGCCUUUAUGACCAGGGCUACACACGUACUACAAUGGCCGAUACAAAGGGCAGCGACACUGCGAGGUGAAGCCAAUCCCGUAAAAUCGGUCUCAGUCCGGAUUGGAGUCUGCAACUCGACUCCAUGAAGUUGGAAUCGCUAGUAAUCGUGGAUCAGCAUGCCACGGUGAAUACGUUCCCGGGCCUU